Molecule: ribosomal RNA, 459 nt
Filed under: uncultured bacterium
Lineage: Bacteria
Description: partial 16S ribosomal RNA
Rfam family: Bacterial small subunit ribosomal RNA
Source: RNAcentral
CCUACGGGCGGCAGCAGUGAGGAAUAUUGGUCAAUGGGCGGAAGCCUGAACCAGCCAAGUCGCGUGAGGGAAUAAGGCCCUACGGGUCGUAAACCUCUUUUGCCAGGGAGCAAAGUCACCCACGUGUGGGUGUUGGAGAGUACCUGAAGAAAAAGCAUCGGCUAACUCCGUGCCAGCAGCCGCGGCAAUACGGAGGAUGCGAGCGUUAUCCGGAUUUAUUGGGUUUAAAGGGUGCGUAGGCGGGUUAUCAAGUCAGCGGUAAAAUCGUGGAGCUCAACUCCAUCCAGCCGUUGAAACUGAUGAUCUUGAGUGGGCGAGAAGUAUGCGGAAUGCGUGGUGUAGCGGUGAAAUGCAUAGAUAUCACGCAGAACUCCGAUUGCGAAGGCAGCAUACCGGCGCCCGACUGACGCUGAAGCACGAAAGCGUGGGUAUCGAACAGGAUUAGAUACCCGAGUAGUC